This is a long non-coding RNA of Myodes glareolus (Bank vole), 1011 nucleotides long. RefSeq lists it as uncharacterized. NCBI's taxonomy places the organism in Eukaryota, Metazoa, Chordata, Mammalia, Rodentia, Cricetidae. The record is from RefSeq and is a predicted model, not a curated record.
UGGAGCCUGGAGUCUAUGGAUUCCAUCUCCACAACAUAAUGAAGUGCUUUGAAAGCUACCUUAUCUGAUUAAGAGCUACAUACAUCUAUUAACUCAGUGUUCAUGGUCCACAGCACUUAGGAGAAUGUGCAGAAGAAUCAAGUCCUAUCAAUCAUGGUCAAACCAUCUCUCACGACUACAGCACAGGGCAAAACAUCUCUUUCGUUUCUCUUGGAUUCAUUUCAGACACAACUGAGUCAUCCUUAUAAAGGUUCUGGAAGCCUCAUGCCCCUUCUACCCCCACUCCUUCCUCUACAAAGCUGCCUCCAUCCUGUAGGUACCCUAACAGAACAUUCUUCAGGCUGAUACUGGCUCGUUUGAAGUUUUGACCUCCGAGGCCCCCCACCCCCACCCCGAGGCAGAGUCUUGUGCAUCCUAGAGCCUCCUGCCCUGGCCUCUCAAAUUCUAGGAUCACAAGUGUGCACCACCUCUCCCCCCUCAACCUUCAAGGUGUCCAGGGAAGGGUCCCCUUCCCUUUCAUCCUGGACUUGCCAGGGGCACCCUGUCCUCCCCUACCUCUAGUCCUGAGGACUCCAGCUCAGGAUACCCACUGCUCAGUGUCUCAAUCAACUUCCUGUUGCCUGCAAGAUUUACGACUCUCAGCUCCAGCACCGCAUCUGCCUACAUGCGGCCAUGCUCCCAGUCAUGAUGAUAAUGGACUGAACCUCUGAAACUCUCGCUUCUCUGCAAGCUGUCUUUAACCACGACGCCUAACUACAAGAGUGAGGUCUCCUAAAGUACCUGGCAGCUUACAUAAUGGAAACAAGGCAGAAGGCCCAGUUGGGAAGGCUCAAGGCUGCUGUGCAGGUGGACCCAGAAGGAACCAGUCCCGGAUCCUGGACUGUUCUUGCUUUCAGAACACUCCCCGCGUGAACACACGAACCUCUCCAAUCAUUGCCUCCAGUUUGUCCUGGUGCGGGAGAAUUGUCUGUAUUCUGUCAAUCAUGUAUUUUAAUAAAACGAUUGAUUGGC